GAACACCUUUAUUUAACCAGGUAAGCUAGUUGAGAACACCUUUAUUUAACCAGGUAAGCUAGUUGAGAACACCUUUAUUUAACCAGGUAAGCUAGUUGAGAACACCUUUAUUUAACCAGGUAAGCUAGUUGAGAACACCUUUAUUUAGCCAGGUAAGCUAGUUGAGAACACCUUUAUUUAGCCAGGUAAGCUAGUUGAGAACACCUUUAUUUAACCAGGUAAGCUAGUUGAGAACACCUUUAUUUAACCAGGUCGGCUAGUUGAGAACAAGUUCUCAUUUGCAACUGCGACCUGGCCAAGAUAAAGCAUAGCAGUGUGAACAGACAACACAGAGUUACACAUGGAGUAAACAAUAAACAAGUCAAUAACACAGUAGGAAAAAAAUCAAUGCAACAUUGACUUUAUCCCAUUGACUUUAUCCCAACCCUGGUUAGCCUCUAUUGGCUUAAAAAGCCAAACCUAACACUAUCUUUCAAUUUUAAUUUCC
Oncorhynchus tshawytscha (Chinook salmon) is the source of this 487-nucleotide long non-coding RNA. NCBI's taxonomy places the organism in Eukaryota, Metazoa, Chordata, Actinopteri, Salmoniformes, Salmonidae. The record is from Ensembl.